AUGAGGUCUACAUGCCAUCAAUAGGUUGCUAGCACUGCCGAAAUUUGUUGCUCCGUGGCAACGCACGGGUAUUCAGCUAGUAGCGCUAAGUCGCUAACAUCCCAUGGUGAGAGGCCGUCCGCUGGGAGACCUAGCCCCAUUGUGCGCUCACCCGAUCCCAUCCACCGCUGGCCACCAGGGAGAGGAGCUUCCGCUUGAGCGCCUGCGUCCCAGAGUCGGAGCCCGCCGGAUCUCCUCGCCCCACCGCCGCCCCGCGCGCCACCGGGGAGCACGCUGGCGAGCGUCGUCGCCCUUCCGCCACCGGCCUGGGCGAUCCAUGGCUCGCGGACGGAUCAGGAGCGCCGCCUGGCGUGUACGACCAGGCUGAUGAGGGACCAAGCCAAGGAGCGGAGUCAGGUUGGGAGGGCGCCCGGUGGGCUGCGGGAGCAGGGGAGGGCGGGACGGCCGGCAGCGCUGCUGGUUUGGGAAUGCUUUGAUCUGGUGAUGCUAGAGCACGUGCACAUGGGGACACGCCGCAGACCACCACCGCCUUGUGAUUGAGUGCAUCAAUGGGAGGAUGGCCCAUGGAGGGUUGGUCACGACACUCACAAUGAAUGCAACGGCAACGAACUCCUCUCGCAGCUCGGCACUCGGCAGUGCCACCGGACAAACCAUGGUUUAGUCAUUUUCAACUUCUAUGGUGGAAAUGAUUUGAGGAUUAAUUGGAGGAAUGUCUCGGAGUUGUUUUAGAAUCUUGAAGGGAUCAAGAGCGGAUAGUCAGAGGUAAUGCAUCAUUUGCUCUUGGUCAGUUUGCUGAACACGUGCAGCCAGAAAUUUGAUCUCACUAUGAGAGUGUAGUUCCAUGCAUCUUAAAUGCAGUUGAAGACCCAUCAGAUGGGGUUAAGGAGAUAUCAUAUUAUGCAUUGGUGGUUUUCUGUGAAGACAUGGGUGAAGAUAUCCUACCAUAUCUGGAACCUUGGAUAUGCAGAUUACUUAUGUCUUUGCAGGUUCAGUCCUCGAAAUUCUGUUGAGACUAACGCAGGGCAGCCUGAUAAGGAGGAAAAGAUUAGAAAUGACAUGCCAUGGCAUCCAUAGUGAGGUGUGAUGUUUCCAAUAUGAAGGCCAAAUAGAAGGGAGGAGAUAACAAUCGGAUCGAUUCCAAUAUGCGAACUUCCAAACAUGGGUGAAGGGAGGAGAUAACAACGUUAGGGUUGGCUCUAUUGGUUUGAUGUUGCAGAUUUAUUAGUUGUCAAUGAUCACCCACACAUAACAAUCGGACUCGAUUCCGAUAGCAAGCGCGCCCGAGCGCUGUUCGUCCACCUCUAGCAGUUUUUUCUUGUUUCACCUUAGCCUUCAUAGUCCCUCAAGGAAAUUAUUACUGAACUUUGACAAUGGCAUCUUUUCACUUUUGUGAACGACACUUGAUUAUCUCUUAGUAAUAGUUCUUUACUAAAUUUUGUUGAUACAUAAGUGGAU
Triticum aestivum (bread wheat) is the source of this 1455-nucleotide long non-coding RNA. RefSeq lists it as uncharacterized. The transcript is spliced from 4 exons. NCBI's taxonomy places the organism in Eukaryota, Viridiplantae, Streptophyta, Magnoliopsida, Poales, Poaceae. The record is from RefSeq and is a predicted model, not a curated record.